Molecule: ribosomal RNA, 468 nt
Filed under: uncultured bacterium
Lineage: Bacteria
Description: partial 16S ribosomal RNA
Rfam family: Bacterial small subunit ribosomal RNA
Source: RNAcentral
GACGAACGCUGGCGGCGUGCUUAACACAUGCAAGUCGAACGGAAAGGCCCUGCUUUUGUGGGGUGCUCGAGUGGCGAACGGGUGAGUAACACGUGAGUAACCUGCCCUUGACUUUGGGAUAACUUCAGGAAACUGGGGCUAAUACCGGAUAGGAGCUCCUGCUGCAUGGUGGGGGUUGGAAAGUUUCGGCGGUUGGGGAUGGACUCGCGGCUUAUCAGCUUGUUGGUGGGGUAGUGGCUUACCAAGGCUUUGACGGGUAGCCGGCCUGAGAGGGUGACCGGCCACAUUGGGACUGAGGUACGGCCCAGACUCCUACGGGAGGCAGCAGUGGGGAAUAUUGCACAAUGGGCGGAAGCCUGAUGCAGCAACGCCGCGUGCGGGAUGACGGCCUUCGGGUUAUAAACCGCUUUCGCCUGUGACGAAGCGUGAGUGACGGUAAUGGGUAAAGAAGCACCGGCUAACUACGUG